RNAcentral lists this ribosomal RNA (270 nucleotides) under uncultured bacterium. RNAcentral's name for it is "partial 16S ribosomal RNA". It matches the Rfam family "Bacterial small subunit ribosomal RNA", at positions 28 to 292 of the family's 1533-position model. The record is from RNAcentral.
GACGAACGCUGGCGGCGUGCUUCAUACAUGCAAGUCGAGCGGACACCAUCCGGUGGCAACACUGGUGAAGUGUUAGCGGCGAACGGGUGAGUAACGCGUGAGCAACCUGCCCCAAGUCUGGGAUAACCCCGGGAAACCGGAGCUAAUACCGGAUGCCCUCAUCGGGUCGCAUGGCCUGAUGAGGAAAGUUUUUCGCUUGGGGAGGGGCUCGCGACCUAUCAGCUUGUUGGCGGGGUAACGGCCCACCAAGGCGUCGACGGGUAGCUGGUC